GACCCUUCGGGAGCUUGCACAGGUGCUGCAUGGCUGUCGUCAGCUCGUGUCGUGAGAUGUCGGUUAAGUCCGCUAACGAGCGCAACCCUCGCUGUGUGUUAUAUGUGUCACACGGGACUGCCGGUCUUAAGCCGGAGGAAGGUGGGGAUGAUGUCAAGUCAGCAUGGCCUUUAUAUCCUGGGCUACACACACGCUACAAUGGCCAACACAAUAGGUUGCUAAGCCGCGAGGUGGCGCCAAUCCAUAAAGUUGGUCUCAGUUCAGAUUGUAGGCUGCAACCCGCCUGCAUGAAGAUGGAGUUGCUAGUAACCGCAGGUCAGCUAUACUGCGGUGAAUACGUUCCCGGGGCUU
This 351-nucleotide ribosomal RNA is filed under the name uncultured Leptolinea sp. RNAcentral's name for it is "bacterial SSU rRNA". It matches the Rfam family "Bacterial small subunit ribosomal RNA", at positions 1014 to 1382 of the family's 1533-position model. Lineage: Bacteria; Bacillati; Chloroflexota; Anaerolineae; Anaerolineales; Anaerolineaceae. The record is from RNAcentral.